This 510-nucleotide ribosomal RNA is filed under the name uncultured bacterium. RNAcentral describes it as "bacterial SSU rRNA". It matches the Rfam family "Bacterial small subunit ribosomal RNA", at positions 28 to 528 of the family's 1533-position model. The record is from RNAcentral.
GAUGAACGCUAGCGGGAGGCUUAACACAUGCAAGUCGAGGGGCAGCACUGAUAGCAAUAUUAGGUGGCGACCGGCGGACGGGUGAGUAACGCGUAUGCAACCUACCCUUUACAGGGGGGAUAGCCCGGAGAAAUUUCGGACCUUAAUACCCCAUAGAUCAGUGAUUCUGCAUGGGAUUACUGGUAAAGCUUCGGCGGUAAAGGAUGGGCAUGCGUCCCAUUAGCUAGUUGGUAGGGUAACGGCCUACCAAGGCAACGAUGGGUACGGGGUCUUAAAGGAUGGACCCGCACACUGGCACUGAGACACGGGCCAGACUCCUACGGGAGGCAGCAGUGAGGAAUAUUGGUCAAUGGGGGGAACCCUGGAACCAGCCAUCCCGCGUGCAGGAAGACAGUUCUAUGGAUUGUAAACUGCUUUUCUUGGGGAAGAAUAAUGACGACGUGUCGGUCAGAUGACGGUACCCGAGGAAUAAGCAUCGGCUAACUCCGUGCCAGCAGCCGCGGUAAACGU